Long non-coding RNA from Manduca sexta (tobacco hornworm), 637 nucleotides. RefSeq lists it as uncharacterized. The record is from RefSeq and is a predicted model, not a curated record. Lineage: Eukaryota; Metazoa; Arthropoda; Insecta; Lepidoptera; Sphingidae. The transcript has 3 exons.
ACUCUAUUUUUUAAGACAUGAGUUUCUUGGACUAUUGCCUAAUUCCGACUUCUUUUAUUUAUAGGUAGUUACGUAAUCUUUAAGUAUUUGGAUCAAAUUGUUAUCCCUACAAUAGACUUUAAUGUUUAUUAAGAGAAGUGCUUCUGUUUACAAGUCACAUUCAUCCAAUAAUACCUGCGUAUAUUAAAUGAAAGCAGAGGGUUAAGUAAUAACCAUUAAGGUAUUUCAGAAUCACGAAUCACCUCACCCCAAACAAAAUUAGAUACGAUGGCGGCCAUAAGGAAAAUCUCGAGACAGCUCCUAAUCUAGGGGGUGAUUAGCGCAUCAUUGGAUAAAUAAGGGGUACCGUCCCUUGGGUAUCAUUGCUGGCCGCGUUAGGGUAACGAUCCGUCAAGUGAAAACGCCGUGGAAAUAGUGCGUUUUUUACCAACGCCAAUAGGGGAGCAGAACUGGCGUGUACAAAGAACAAAAAACCUUCAACCUGUCCGAUCGAUCAACGUCAAACGCACUGUGCAGGAAGACGUGCCUUUAAAUUCUUUGUACAUGAUCACGAUUUGAUAACUCGUUUCAGCUUUCAAUGUACCGUCAGUAGCAAGCAUUGGAUACGUUGACUAUUUAAGGUAAAUGACUACUUAUG